CCUCCCAAAGUGCUGGGAUUAGAGGUGUGAGCCACCGCCUGGCCUAGGAAAGAAUUUUAUGUGUGUGCUUGGGAUAUCUAUUGCUAUUUAACAAACUACCCCAAAACUUUGUUGUUUAAAACCACUAUCAUUUAUCACUCAUGAUCUCGUCAGGGACUGGGCUCAGCUGGGUGGUUGUGCUACACUGGAUGCUGGCUGGGGCUGUUCCACUGAGCUGACCAGGAUGAUUACUCACAUGGCUAGCUGUUGUCUGGGGCUCAUCGGGGCCUACCGACCAGAACACCUCAGUUCUCUCUCAUGUGGCCUCUGUGUUUGAACUUCUCAUAGCACGACAGGUGAGCUACCAGUGGAACAUGCCAAGAUGUCAAGCCCCAUGUGAGGCAUUUAUUAAGCCCCUGCUGCCAUCAUGCCACUGGCCCCAUCUAGUCAUCGGCCACGCCCAUCAGGUGAGGGAGACCACACCGGGAGACAGGGUCUAUCAGGGGCCACUAAAGUAACACUCUGGCCAAAAUAAUGCAGUUACUUGCACAUGGAACUGAUUAGAAGUGCUAAGAUUGUCAUGUUUUUGAGGAAACUGUGCUUAUACAAGGCCCACGAGCCUGGACUGAAGCCACCAGUUCACUUAAAACAGGUCCUAGCCUGGAACCGUCCACCCACAGGCAGUAGAUGAGAAAGCCAAGCUUGGCCCAAGAGCUGCAGCCAAAGGGAUACAAAAAAGGCCAGCCGCCCCCACCCUCCCAUCUCCCCCCCAGCCCAAGACCAGGGGCAGAGCAGGGCACCGUCAGGUCUUUUCCCUCCUCGGUGCAAGGAGACCUUGGUCUGUGCUGCAGCUUCCAGCACUGUGGGGGCAUCUCCCAUUCUCUGCUCCUCAAAAUGGUGCUGGACUGUGGGUACUGACCCCUGCCCCAUUGUCUGUUACUGUUGGGGGAAAGGCACAGAUCACAGGUCUCUCUAGUUUACAGGCUGUGUCUGCCUUGCUGGAGAAGGCUUUGAAGCCACAGAGCCCAGGACACAGGACCUUAUGGUCUAUGUAUGAGAAAAAGACUGAAAUAACUCUCUGGGGGCCAGACAGUCCACUGUGACCGGGACUGGCAAUGUUAACUAAGCCCAUUUCCCCACCUCCCACCUUCCGCCUCAAAGGAAGCCUGCACUUGCCCAUCCCGCCACAUCUGGAUGGGGGCCGAGGAUCUAAUUCUGGCACUGGCAUGGGAAGCAGUGAGGCACUUCCAGGCCUGGCUGUAAGAAAUCUUCUAUGCUUGACCCUUGUCCAUUUGUCCCUUCAUAGCCACCUGAAGGGCUGUCAGAGAGAGCAGUGUCUCAAGAUGAAAGUGGCUUGGGUCCCUGAGUCAGACUUCUGUGAGAAACAAACUCGUGUGAAGCCGC
This is a long non-coding RNA of Sapajus apella (tufted capuchin), 1383 nucleotides long. RefSeq lists it as uncharacterized. NCBI's taxonomy places the organism in Eukaryota, Metazoa, Chordata, Mammalia, Primates, Cebidae. The transcript has 2 exons. The record is from RefSeq and is a predicted model, not a curated record.